Molecule: ribosomal RNA, 468 nt
Filed under: uncultured bacterium
Lineage: Bacteria
Description: partial 16S ribosomal RNA
Rfam family: Bacterial small subunit ribosomal RNA
Source: RNAcentral
GACGAACGCUGGCGGCGUGCUUAACACAUGCAAGUCGAACGGAAAGGCCCUGCUUUUGUGGGGUGCUCGAGGGGCGAACGGGGGAGUAACACGAGAGUAACCUGCCCUAGACUUUGGGAGAACUUCAGGAAACUGGGGCUAAGACCGGAUAGGAGCUCCUGCUGCAGGGUGGGGGUUGGAAAGUUGCGGCGGUUGGGGAUGGACGCGCGGCUUAUCAGCUUGCUGGUGGGGUAGUGGCUGGCCAAGGCAGUGACGGGUAGCCGGCAGGGGAGGGUGGCCGGCCACCAUGGUACUGCGGUACGGCGCAGACUGCUACGGUAGGCAGCGGUGGGGAAUAUUGCACAAUCAGCGGACGCCUGAUGCGGAGGCGCCGGGUUCGGAAUGACGGCCUUCGGGUUGUGAACCGCUUUCGCCUGUGACGAAGCGUGAGUGACGGUAAUCGGUAAAGAAGCACCGGCUAACUACGUG